Molecule: non-coding RNA, 402 nt
Organism: Peromyscus maniculatus bairdii (prairie deer mouse)
Lineage: Eukaryota; Metazoa; Chordata; Mammalia; Rodentia; Cricetidae
Source: RefSeq, a predicted model, not a curated record
UGGAAUGGGUUAGAAGGAGGUGUCUGAGGGAGUCCACAGGAGGGAAAAAAGCCAGGUAUGGCACCAGGAUCUGCAUAGGCCCAUGAAAACGAGGACAGAGAGGGAAGAGAGGCUAAGGCAGAAAACUCGGCAGAUUUGCAAAAGCUGAUAAUUCAAAGACGAACUAUUUAUUACAACUCACACAAAUGUGGAAGGAAGAAAUGGAAACAAGCAGAGAAUCUUCAUCAAGAUUGAAUGAAAAGGAGGCUAUCUUCAAAUUUUUCACAGAAGUCACACCUAGAGAGGCAAAGUAAGCAUAUGAUGCACCUUCAUAGAAGAGCUUUCGUUUGUGAUAAAGUGAUUCAACAUUUGGUAUUAUGUGCAACCUACUGUGUUUAGCAAAAUUAUGCCCCUUUUACUUUA